GGAGUAACAUACCUAUAAGACUGGGAUAACUUCGGGAAACCGGAGCUAAUACCGGAUAAUAUUUUGAACCGCAUGGUUCAAAAGUGAAAGACGGUCUUGCUGUCACUUAUAGAUGGAUCCGCGCUGCAUUAGCUAGUUGGUAAGGUAACGGCUUACCAAGGCAACGAUGCAUAGCCGACCUGAGAGGGUGAUCGGCCACACUGGAACUGAGACACGGUCCAG
This 222-nucleotide ribosomal RNA is filed under the name uncultured Staphylococcus sp. RNAcentral's name for it is "partial 16S ribosomal RNA". It matches the Rfam family "Bacterial small subunit ribosomal RNA", at positions 119 to 334 of the family's 1533-position model. The record is from RNAcentral. Lineage: Bacteria; Bacillati; Bacillota; Bacilli; Caryophanales; Staphylococcaceae.